Molecule: ribosomal RNA, 528 nt
Filed under: Metarhizium anisopliae
Lineage: Eukaryota; Fungi; Ascomycota; Sordariomycetes; Hypocreales; Clavicipitaceae
Description: SSU rRNA
Rfam family: Bacterial small subunit ribosomal RNA
Source: RNAcentral
GCAAGUCUUAUUUUGAUUAUAUUAUUAUAUAUAAUCUAUAAGAUUGUAUUAAAAUUGAAUAAAGCUUUGUUUAUAUAUCGAUAAUGACGGUAUAUAUAUCGUGUCUCGGCUAAUUACGUGCCAGCAGCCGCGGUAAUACGUAAGAGACUAGUGUUAUUCAUCUUAAUUAGGUUUAAAGGGUACCUAGACGGUCAAUAUAGCUUCUAUAAUGUUAGUACUUGACUAGAGUUUGAUAUAAGAGGGCAGUACUUGAGGAGGAGAGAUGAAAUUCUAUUGUACCAAAGGGACUCGGUAAAGGCCAAGGCAGCCCUCUAUGUAAAAACUGACGUUGAAGGACGAAGGCACAGAGCACAAACAGGAUUAGAUACCCAAGUAGUCUUUGCAGUAAAUGAUGAAUGUCAUAGGUUAGAUUAAGCUUUAAUUAAUUAGUUUAUCAGUAAUGAACUAACUAUUAAACAAUAUUUAGUCUAUAAAUGAAAGUGUAAGCAUUCCACCUCAAGAGUAAUGUGGCAACGCAGGAACUGAAAU